UCCGGUUUGUCACCGGCAGUCUCUCCAGAGUGCCCACCAUAACGUGAUGGCAACAGGAAACAAGGGUUGCGCUCGUUGCGGGACUUAACCCAACAUCUCACGACACGAGCUGACGACAGCCAUGCAGCACCUAUACAGAUGUCCUUGCGGAAGUCGACUUUCGCCGAUGGUCAUCUGCAUUUCGAGCCCAGGUAAGGUUCUUCGCGUUGCGUCGAAUUGAACCACAUGCUCCACCGCUUGUGCGGGCCCCCGUCAAUUCCUUUGAGUUUCAGCCUUGCGACUGUACUCCCCAGGCGGCAUAUUUAACGCGUUAGCUCCGGCACGGAACCCGUCGAUAGAGCCCCACACCUAGUGCCCAACGUUUACGGCGUGGACUAC
This 378-nucleotide unclassified non-coding RNA is filed under the name uncultured Acidobacteriota bacterium. Its description in RNAcentral is "uncultured Acidobacteria bacterium contains 16S-23S intergenic spacer region". The record is from RNAcentral. Lineage: Bacteria; Pseudomonadati; Acidobacteriota.